Molecule: ribosomal RNA, 215 nt
Filed under: uncultured bacterium
Lineage: Bacteria
Description: partial 16S ribosomal RNA
Rfam family: Bacterial small subunit ribosomal RNA
Source: RNAcentral
UGGAUAUCUGCCUUUUGGUUCGGAAUAACCCGGGAAACUGGGGCUAAUACCGGAUGGUUCCUUCGGGAUAAAGAUUUAUCGCCAAAAGACGAGUCCGCGUACGAUUAGCUAGUUGGUGAGGUAAUGGCUCACCAAGGCGACGAUCGUUAGCUGGUCUGAGAGGAUGAUCAGCCUCAUUGGGACUGAGACACGGCCCAAACUCCUACGGGAGGCAG